Molecule: ribosomal RNA, 696 nt
Filed under: uncultured bacterium
Lineage: Bacteria
Description: bacterial SSU rRNA
Rfam family: Bacterial small subunit ribosomal RNA
Source: RNAcentral
CCUGCCUCUGACUCUGGGAUAACAGUUGGAAACAGCUGCUAAUACUGGAUAUUAACCUGCUGGGCAUCUGGUGGGUUGGAAAGAUUUUUUGGUCAGGGAUGGGCUCGCGGCCUAUCAGCUUGUUGGUGGGGUGAUGGCCUACCAAGGCGUCGACGGGUAGCCGGCCUGAGAGGGCGACCGGCCACACUGGGACUGAGAUACGGCCCAGACUCCUACAGGAGGCAGCAGUGGGGAAUAUUGCGCAAUGGGCGGAAGCCUGACGCACCAACGCCGCGUGCGGGAUGACGGCCUUCAGGUUGUAAACCGCUUUCAGCAAGGACGAAGCUUUUUGUGACGGUACCUGCAGAAGAAGCACCGGCCAACUACGUGCCAGCAGCCGCGGUGAUACGUAGGGUGCGAGCGUUGUCCGGAAUUAUUGGGCGUAAAGAGCUCGUAGGCGGUUGAUUGCGUCCGAAGUGAAAUCUCACGGCUUAACUCUGAGUCUGCUUCCAAUACGGGUUGACUAGAGGAAGUUAGGGGAGAACAGAAUUCCUGGAGGAGCGGUGGAAUGCGCAGAUAUCAGGAGGAACACCGAUGGCGAAGGCAGUUCUCUGGGACUUUCCUGACGCUGAGGAGCGAAAGCGUGCGGAGCAAACAGGCUUAGAUACCCUGGUAGUCCACGCCGUAAACGGUGGGUACUACGUGUGGGGGACAUUC